Molecule: non-coding RNA, 30 nt
Filed under: Mus musculus (house mouse)
Lineage: Eukaryota; Metazoa; Chordata; Mammalia; Rodentia; Muridae
Source: RNAcentral
UAGGAUAGAAUCCAAACCAGACUGCUGCUC